AUUCGAUUAACGCGAAGAACCUUACCUGGUCUUGACAUAGUGAGAAUCCUGCAGAGAUGCGGGAGUGCCUUCGGGAAUUCACAUACAGGUGCUGCAUGGCUGCCGUCAGCUCGUGUCGUGAGAUGUUGGGUUAAGUCCCGCAACGAGCGCAACCCUUUUCCUUAUUUGCCAGCGGGUUAAGCCGGGAGCUUUAAGGAUAUUGCCAGUGACAAACUGGAGGAAGGCGGGGACGACGUCAAGUCAUCAUGGCCCUUACGACCAGGGCUACACACGUGCUACAAUGGUAGGUACAGAGGGUUGCUACACAGCGAUGUGAUGCUAAUCUCAAAAAGCCUAUGUAGUCCGGAUUGGAGUCUGCAACUCGACCCCAUGAAGUCGGAAUCGCUAGUAAUCGCAGAUCAG
This 402-nucleotide ribosomal RNA is filed under the name uncultured Enhydrobacter sp. Its description in RNAcentral is "bacterial SSU rRNA". It matches the Rfam family "Bacterial small subunit ribosomal RNA", at positions 949 to 1352 of the family's 1533-position model. The record is from RNAcentral. Lineage: Bacteria; Pseudomonadati; Pseudomonadota; Alphaproteobacteria; Hyphomicrobiales.